This is a long non-coding RNA of Perca flavescens (yellow perch), 1571 nucleotides long. RefSeq lists it as uncharacterized. NCBI's taxonomy places the organism in Eukaryota, Metazoa, Chordata, Actinopteri, Perciformes, Percidae. The transcript is spliced from 2 exons. The record is from RefSeq and is a predicted model, not a curated record.
CAUUUGACUUUUGAUACGCCUUUAUAUGGGGUGUGAUAGACAAGCAGGCAGCUCCCACGGAAAGGCUUCCUAAUGGCUGGGAGUGGGAGCACAGGCAGCUGCAAUAACAGUUGGACCAGGAUUUUGUCAACUUGCAGCCGCUGGUGUCUGUGUGAGUGUGUGUUUGUGUGGGUAGGUGAGUGUAAGUUCCUCUGGGAUAAAUUAUAGUAGCUCAAGGCAAGUGUGCUGUUUGAGAGGAGAUGCCUUCGAUAAGCCCAGCAAGCCCUUGAUGCAUUGUUCACAGUCUGGGGGGCUCAAGACAGGAAAGUGUUUACCUGAUAAUGUAUCCGAUAUCCUCCCUGUAAACUGUUGAUGUGUUAUUUGACUGCGGCAGCCAGGCAGCAUGGGUUUUAUACUUCAAUUACAGCAACAGAGUCACUGAUUGACUUGGCAUUUGAGACAUGUUAACUGCUUUAUAAAUAUAAUAAAGAAUAUUUUAGUUUAUAUGCAAUACAUUAGUAGCAUAAAAUCUGGAAGGGUAUAAAUGUAUAACAUUAUAUUCUACACAAUUCUAUUACAUUCUGUUAUUACAAUGCUUGAAUUGUAAGUCAAGUAUUUGAUCCAAUAAUCCCCUUUUCGAGAUUUUUUAAAAACAUUAAUGUACUAAGCUAAUGAAAUGCACAUGUGGUGACUGAGACAUACCAAGUGUCUUCUAGUCUUCACAAGGCUCCUCAAGGAUAUUUUUAGGAUCGCCUUCUUUUUCUUGCACCUGCCUUCGUCUGUAAUAUGGAUCCAUGACUCUGUGCCAAGAGUCCAAGGUCCAAUGCUAUUAGAUAUGUCCCCUAAAAUAAUCCAUGUCUUGCUCAGGCUUUGGUCCAUUUUACAGAUUAUUGUUGCUAUACGCCUGGCAGACUUUCAGUAGUAAAAUAUGACCAAUAUCAGGAUACAGUUUCUCAUCAUAUUGCUUUGCUAUACUUUAAGAUAUUGUCCUGGUAAUUUAGGCAUCAGCCGUGUCUUAGACUUUGAUUGACAGGCUCAGUAAUAGAAAAAUAUUUUGAUAAUCUUGGGGCCGGCCCAUGUUCUAAUAGACUGGCAUUUUGUAUAAUUGUGAUUGGCAUUGAACAAUACUAGUCACAGGCCUUAUUUCUGCCUGCUUUUCUCUAGAUUAGUCUGAGGUAAUACGUGUGGUUUCAGAAUGUCUGGAAAAAGUAUUAAAGUAUAAAGUAUCUUAUAUUUCUUAAUAUGCAUAUGAAUAAAAAUAAUAUAACACCAAUAACUGUACAAAGCUUGGAGGUUGCUGCUACACAGAAAUGGCUCUGAAUGUUCUGAGAUACUACAUUGCUUUACUGAAUUAAGUAAUGUGCUUUAAGUAAUGUUUAUAGUGUGCAUUACUGUUCAUCAUGUGCUUCAAACAUGUACAUUUUACAUAUCAAAUAUGCUGUUUAAACAUUUAGUUGUAGGCUAAAUGUUUUUUUUAAUACUAUGUGAAUACAGUAGGCUAUUUUAUGCUUUUGUCCUACUUAAAAUCUUUAGAAUGACUUGUCUUCAUUAUGUUCUUACUGUUGACAGUAAAGCACUGGUUUUUAUCUUGA